Molecule: ribosomal RNA, 398 nt
Filed under: uncultured bacterium
Lineage: Bacteria
Description: bacterial SSU rRNA
Rfam family: Bacterial small subunit ribosomal RNA
Source: RNAcentral
GACGAACGCUGGCGGCGUGCUUAACACAUGCAAGUCGAGCGGUAAGGCCCUUUCGGGGGUACACGAGCGGCGAACGGGUGAGUAACACGUGGGUGACCUGCCCUCAGCUCUGGGAUAAGCCUGGGAAACCGGGUCUAAUACUGGAUAUGACUCCAUGACGCAUGUUGUGGGGUGGAAAGCCUUGUGCGGCUGAGGAUGGGCCCGCGGCCUAUCAGCUUGUUGGUGGGGUGAGGCCUACCAAGGCGACGACGGGUAGCCGGCCUGAGAGGGCGACCGGCCACACUGGGACUGAGACACGGCCCAGACUCCUACGGGAGGCAGCAGUGGGGAAUCUUGCGCAAUGGGCGAAAGCCUGACGCAGCGACGCCGCGUGAGGGAUGACGGCCUCGGUGUAACGU